RNAcentral lists this ribosomal RNA (449 nucleotides) under Xenorhabdus sp. Its description in RNAcentral is "bacterial SSU rRNA". It matches the Rfam family "Bacterial small subunit ribosomal RNA", at positions 29 to 474 of the family's 1533-position model. The record is from RNAcentral. Lineage: Bacteria; Pseudomonadati; Pseudomonadota; Gammaproteobacteria; Enterobacterales; Morganellaceae.
AUUGAACGCUGGCGGCAGGCCUAACACAUGCAAGUCGGGCGGCAGCGGGGGAAAGCGUGCUUUCCUGCCGGCGAGCGGCGGACGGGUGAGUAAUGUCUGGGGAUCUGCCCGAUGGAGGGGGAUAACCACUGGAAACGGUGGCUAAUACCGCAUGAACUCUGAGGAGCAAGGUGGGGGACCUUCGGGCCUCACGCCAUCGGAUGAACCCAGAUGGGAUUAGCUAGUAGGUGGGGUAACGGCUCACCUAGGCGACGAUCCCUAGCUGGUCUGAGAGGAUGACCAGCCACACUGGGACUGAGACACGGCCCAGACUCCUACGGGAGGCAGCAGUGGGGAAUAUUGCACAAUGGGCGCAAGCCUGAUGCAGCCAUGCCGCGUGUAUGAAGAAGGCCUUCGGGUUGUAAAGUACUUUCAGCGGGGAGGAAGGCGUGAAACCGAAUACGUUCACG